RNAcentral lists this unclassified non-coding RNA (313 nucleotides) under Hevea brasiliensis (rubber tree). Lineage: Eukaryota; Viridiplantae; Streptophyta; Magnoliopsida; Malpighiales; Euphorbiaceae. The record is from RNAcentral.
AAAAAAGGCAAGCAAAUAGCAAUUGAAAGCUGCUCUGUUUUGCUUCACCUAUCUGCUUCUGCAAAUCCGGCCAUUUCUGUGUAUAUAUAUAGAUAGAAGGUGAAAAGGAUGAUGUGGGUUCGAUCGAUUCGGCGGCCAUUAUCGUCGUUGGUUCUACUUCAGUCGCGUGCCCCGAAUUAUUCCUCAUUGUCAGCUUCAGCAGCUGCAGUAGAAGCGGAACGAUGUAUAAAGGAAGGACCCAGAAAUAACUGGACUAGAGAUGAAAUCAAGUCUAUUUACGAUUCACCACUCCUCGAUCUCCUCUUUCAUGGCG